This 68-nucleotide transfer RNA is filed under the name Neotoma lepida (desert woodrat). It matches the Rfam family "tRNA". Rfam says of the family: Transfer RNA (tRNA) molecules are approximately 80 nucleotides in length. Their secondary structure includes four short double-helical elements and three loops (D, anti-codon, and T loops). Lineage: Eukaryota; Metazoa; Chordata; Mammalia; Rodentia; Cricetidae. The record is from Rfam by way of RNAcentral.
GGGAUGGCUCAGUGGUUAAGAGCACUAGCUGCUCUUCCAGAGGAUCUGGGUUCAAAUCCCAGCACCCA